CUGGAGAGGAACCUGGGAGGGAGGGAAAAUGGAAGUUUGAUACGUGUAAAGGUGUAAUUGGAACAGAAUCCUUCAUCUAACGGCACACAGGGAUCUGAAAAAAAAUGCAGAUUAUCUCAUAAUUUGUGUGCUUCUACAUCAUGAUAGCGUGGUUGGAGAAGGAGGGGGAGUGGAACAGCGAGUGACAGGCAGAUGGAGCGCAGAAGAAGCAAAGAGUGACAGGGUGUGGGAGGGGCAGAGUGACUGUGACGGAAAGAGGAGGGGGAGCGGAACAGAGAAACAGAUGCAGCGAGACUAGACAUGGAGGGGGAACACUAAGGGAGCAAGCAGCAGAGGGUGGGAGACAAAAGAGAAGCUAGAGCAACCGCAGGUGGAUUGAAAGUUGGGCAUGUUUGCCUAAGGAGCCUUAAGUCAAAGUGCCGAUGGAGGAUAGAUUGAGUACCCAGAUGUUUGAAGUUGACAUCUCGCGAGAGUUCGCAUUUACCCAGGAAGACGCAUACAGUUUCGGCCAUCACGCAACAAGCUGCUCACAGGGAUUUGAUCGCUUCUUCUGGAACACUUCACUUGUAUCACGUUACUUGGAUCAUCUUCACAGAUCGAAUCAGUUGCAUCUUUCCAGGUUUUCUUUGACAGUCAACUGGACUUCACUUUCGGGUCCCCUUUGAUCUGAGGUCUGACCCCCCCACGCUCUGUGUACUUAUAGUAACAGCUGACCCCCCCAACCUCUGCCACUAAUGGUAAAUGAACAGUACUUGUGAAUUGUAAUUGUUGCUAAGUGAUGUUUGUAAUGUGUUCCAGUGUACUUUAUGAAACCUGUCUUGUAACAAUCUAAGCACCCCCUGUUGUAAAAAAAACUGUAUGAUAAAAUGUAGACCCCUAUGUUCCCAACUGCAUUUUAGGAAACUUGUGUUACAAAUACUUGUAAGUGUGUAUCUAUGUCCACUGUGUCAUGUUGUUUGAAUAAAAGAAGAACAAAGAA
Molecule: long non-coding RNA, 979 nt
Organism: Xenopus laevis (African clawed frog)
Lineage: Eukaryota; Metazoa; Chordata; Amphibia; Anura; Pipidae
Exons: 3
Source: RefSeq, a predicted model, not a curated record